AGAGUUUGAUCCUGGCUCAGAACAACGACUGCGGCGAUGCUUAACACAUGCAAGUCGAACGGAUGGCUUCGGCCAUUAGUGGCGCACGGGUGCGUAACGCGUGGGAAUCUGCCCAAAGGUUCGGAAUACCCGGGAAACUCGGGCUAAUACCGGAUGAUGUCGCAAGACCAAAGAUUUAUCGCCUUUGGAUGAGCCCGCGUCGGAUUAGCUAGUUGGUGGGGUAAAGGGCCUACCAAGGCGACGAUCCGUAGCUGGUCUGAGAGGAUGAUCAGCCACACUGGGACUGAGACACGGCCCAGACUCCUACGGGAGGCAGCAGUGGGGAAUAUUGGACAAUGGGCGAAAGCCUGAUCCAGCAAUGCCGCGUGAGUGAUGAAGGCCUUAGGGUUGUAAAGCUCUUUUACCCGGGUAUGAUAAUGACAGUACCGGGAGAAUAAGCCCCGGCUAACUCCGUG
This 455-nucleotide ribosomal RNA is filed under the name uncultured Sphingomonadaceae bacterium. RNAcentral's name for it is "bacterial SSU rRNA". It matches the Rfam family "Bacterial small subunit ribosomal RNA", at positions 8 to 507 of the family's 1533-position model. The record is from RNAcentral. Lineage: Bacteria; Pseudomonadati; Pseudomonadota; Alphaproteobacteria; Sphingomonadales; Sphingomonadaceae.